RNAcentral lists this ribosomal RNA (433 nucleotides) under uncultured bacterium. Its description in RNAcentral is "partial 16S ribosomal RNA". It matches the Rfam family "Bacterial small subunit ribosomal RNA", at positions 29 to 507 of the family's 1533-position model. The record is from RNAcentral.
AACGAACGCUGGCGGCAUGCCUAACACAUGCAAGUCGAACGAGACCUUCGGGUCUAGUGGCGCACGGGUGCGUAACGCGUGGGAACCUGCCCUUAGGUUCGGAAUAACUCCCCGAAAGGGGUGCUAAUACCGGAUAAUGUCUUCGGACCAAAGAUUUAUCGCCUUUGGAUGGGCCCGCGUUGGAUUAGCUAGUUGGUAGGGUAAAAGCCUACCAAGGCGACGAUCCAUAGCUGGUCUGAGAGGAUGAUCAGCCACACUGGGACUGAGACACGGCCCAGACUCCUACGGGAGGCAGCAGUGGGGAAUAUUGGAAAAGGGGCGAAAGCCUGAACCAGCAAUGCCGCGUGAAUGAUGAAGGCCUGAGGGUUGUAAAGCGCUUUUACCCGGGAUGAUAAUGACAGUACCGGGAGAAUAAGCCCCGGCUAACUCCGUG